RNAcentral lists this ribosomal RNA (261 nucleotides) under uncultured prokaryote. RNAcentral describes it as "partial 16S ribosomal RNA". It matches the Rfam family "Bacterial small subunit ribosomal RNA", at positions 524 to 784 of the family's 1533-position model. The record is from RNAcentral.
UACGGAGGAUCCAAGCGUUAUCCGGAUUUAUUGGGUUUAAAGGGUGCGCAGGCGGAAGAUUAAGUCGGCGGUGAAAUUUUGCAGCUCAACUGUAAAAGUGCCAUCGAUACUGGUUUUCUUGAGUGUGGAUGAAGUAGGCGGAAUUUGUGGUGUAGCGGUGAAAUGCAUAGAUAUCACGAGGAACUCCGAUUGCGCAGGCAGCUUACUAGGCCAUAACUGACGCUCAGGUACGAAAGCGUGGGGAUCAAACAGGAUUAGAUA